UGUGCGCUGUUGGACACGUGAGCAGUUCACGGCUUUCUGUGUCUAGACUGUAGUCCGUUGGAGGAGUCCACUGCACGUAGCUUACACGUUCUCCGACGGAUGGACACAUGGGCGGUUUUCACCUUUUGGCUACUAGACAUGGAGACCACAAACGUAUCUUUCCUUCAAUCUAGAAUCCGCUCUUUGGUGUAUAAUGAAAUUUGACAUGAGAGCCGGGAAAGUCCUACGGUGACAUCACGGACCGGGAGCAAGGUCACGACGUGACCGAGGCCACUCUCCAAGGGGAC
Molecule: long non-coding RNA, 287 nt
Organism: Bubalus bubalis (water buffalo)
Lineage: Eukaryota; Metazoa; Chordata; Mammalia; Artiodactyla; Bovidae
Exons: 3
Source: RefSeq, a predicted model, not a curated record